This 442-nucleotide ribosomal RNA is filed under the name uncultured bacterium. Its description in RNAcentral is "partial 16S ribosomal RNA". It matches the Rfam family "Bacterial small subunit ribosomal RNA", at positions 338 to 795 of the family's 1533-position model. The record is from RNAcentral.
CCUACGGGUGGCAGCAGUGGGGAAUAUUGGGCAAUGGACGCAAGUCUGACCCAGCAACGCCGCGUGAAGGAAGAAGGCUUUCGGGUUGUAAACUUCUUUUAAGGGGGAAGAGCAGAAGACGGUACCCCUUGAAUAAGCCACGGCUAACUACGUGCCAGCAGCCGCGGUAAUACGUAGGUGGCAAGCGUUGUCCGGAUUUACUGGGUGUAAAGGGCGUGCAGCCGGAGAGGCAAGUCAGAUGUGAAAUCCGCGGGCUCAACUCGCGAACUGCAUUUGAAACUGCUUCCCUUGAGUAUCGGAGAGGUAAUCGGAAUUCCUAGUGUAGCGGUGAAAUGCGUAGAUAUUAGGAAGAACACCAGUGGCGAAGGCGGGUUACUGGACGACAACUGACGGUGAGGCGCGAAAGUGUGGGUAUCAAACAGGAUUAGAUACCCCUGUAGUC